Molecule: non-coding RNA, 1093 nt
Organism: Doryrhamphus excisus (bluestripe pipefish)
Lineage: Eukaryota; Metazoa; Chordata; Actinopteri; Syngnathiformes; Syngnathidae
Source: RefSeq, a predicted model, not a curated record
UUGGCACCCUCUAGUGGUUGUGUUAAUUGUGGUCGGCUGUUUAGUCAUAAAGUUAAUUUGAAUCGGCCAUUUUUGUUUACACGGUGUCUGGUGGAGACAGUCGCAUCUUAUCUCCAGCCAUCCUCGUUUGUGUUGUUCUUGAACAAGCACAAACUUUUUACACGGCUUCCACUAAAAAGCGGGCAGAAGAGAGUUCAUGGCGUUAACCGGGGACGGCGCCUCCGAGCUCUCCGGGCCCUCGACGGCAUCCCGGCUGGCACUCUUUCCGCUAUACUGGCCGAUAAAGGAGCCGUCCUCGUUGAACUGGCCAUCACCUCCUUCCCCGUAGUCCACUAAACUGUCGUCACUGUCGUCUCGCUUAACCGUCCCGCUCGAUGGCGUGCGGCUCCCUUUUAAAGGUUUAUGGUCCUCAUUGUCACUGAGGGAGAAAACAUGCAGUUAGCAGAUGAUGAGCAGGAUGAGGAUCAGGAGGGCGAUGGCGCACAUCAGGCCAAUGAACCAACCCUGCGUGGCGAUGUCCACCUGUCUGCUGGCCACGGCUGAGGAGGAGAAGAAGGAGGAGAGGAUCACGCUUUCACCUCCAAUCUCUGAGUGGAAUUGUGAAUGAGGAGCAUCUACUCUGCUUCUAGUAGGUUCCUGAAUGGAAGCGUUGCUUUAGUCGUUACUCGUUGCUACGUCAUGAUUGGUUAACUUGGGAAUUAGAAGUGACAUGUGACACUCACACACACAUUUACUGUUUCUGACACGAGGGUCACGCUCCACGGAAAAGUAAAAAAAUAUUGUUGUUAAGCACAUAAAAAUGUCGACAGUACUUUGAACGCAACCCUCCGAAUCUUCCUGCUACCUUGAUACCUACGAUACGAUCCGGCUUCCAUUCCUAAAUAUGCCUCACACGCCUAUUAAACACAUUUCCGGUGUGAAUUUAUAUUAUAUUAGAUAUUUAUGUAUAUUUAUAUAUUUUUUUAUUUUUAUUUAUAUAUAUUAUUAUAUAUUAUUUAUAAUUUAUUAUAGUAUUUUUUACCCCCAUUUUUUAAAAUUUGAUAUAAAUAACUGAUAUUUGUAUAAAUAUAUUUUUUACCAAAAAUAUACAAUA